This is a long non-coding RNA of Carassius gibelio (silver crucian carp), 230 nucleotides long. RefSeq lists it as uncharacterized. The record is from RefSeq and is a predicted model, not a curated record. NCBI's taxonomy places the organism in Eukaryota, Metazoa, Chordata, Actinopteri, Cypriniformes, Cyprinidae. The transcript has 3 exons.
CAAAGUUCUAAAAAAUUAUCACACUACUAUCCUACUACUAAUUAAACAGCAGCAUCCUUUGUCAUCUUUCAUAAAAACACGUUGUCUAAGUGUUAAACUGCAUGGUUUCUCCAGCCCAGCUGUUCUCCCGUGUCGCAUAUGCUGAACUGCUCUGGAUUAAUUGUAAUGAGGCGGAGAAUCAGUGGGAGAACUAAAAACAGCAUGUGAAUUCAAAGUCAUGUGGAUGAAGG